RNAcentral lists this ribosomal RNA (524 nucleotides) under Salmonella enterica. Its description in RNAcentral is "partial 23S ribosomal RNA". It matches the Rfam family "Bacterial large subunit ribosomal RNA", at positions 711 to 1221 of the family's 2925-position model. Lineage: Bacteria; Pseudomonadati; Pseudomonadota; Gammaproteobacteria; Enterobacterales; Enterobacteriaceae. RNAcentral also lists the same sequence under 1 other name. The record is from RNAcentral.
AGACCCGAAACCCGGUGAUCUAGCCAUGGGCAGGUUGAAGGUUGGGUAACACUAACUGGAGGACCGAACCGACUAAUGUUGAAAAAUUAGCGGAUGACCUGUGGCUGGGGGUGAAAGGCCAAUCAAACCGGGAGAUAGCUGGUUCUCCCCGAAAGCUAUUUAGGUAGCGCCUCGUGAAUUCAUCUCCGGGGGUAGAGCACUGUUUCGGCUAGGGGGCCAUCCCGGCUUACCAACCCGAUGCAAACUGCGAAUACCGGAGAAUGUUAUCACGGGAGACACACGGCGGGUGCUAACGUCCGUCGUGAAGAGGGAAACAACCCAGACCGCCAGCUAAGGUCCCAAAGUCAUGGUUAAGUGGGAAACGAUGUGGGAAGGCCCAGACAGCCAGGAUGUUGGCUUAGAAGCAGCCAUCAUUUAAAGAAAGCGUAAUAGCUCACUGGUCGAGUCGGCCUGCGCGGAAGAUGUAACGGGGCUAAACCAUGCACCGAAGCUGCGGCAGCGAACGUAUCACCCAAGACAACUUU